AAGAGGGCGCGCUCUAUGGUGUUGCUGAUACAAUGGGAAAUUUGGCGGGAACGCAACGACCGCAUCUUCCGGAACGUUGAGCGCUCACCUCAAUCUGUCCUCCUGCGUGUAGACGAAGAGAGGGGCUCCUGGGCGCUGGCUGGAGGCCGACAUUUGAUGCUGCGAGAGUAG
Molecule: ribosomal RNA, 171 nt
Filed under: Triticum aestivum (bread wheat)
Lineage: Eukaryota; Viridiplantae; Streptophyta; Magnoliopsida; Poales; Poaceae
Description: partial small subunit ribosomal RNA
Source: RNAcentral